UACGUAGGGGGCGAGCGUUGUCCGAAGUUACUGGGCGUAAAGCGCGCGUAGGCGGUUGCUUAAGUUAGAUGUGAAAUCCUGGGGCUCAACCCCAGAACUGCAUCUAAAACUGGGCGACUUGAGGACGGAAGAGGGUAGUGGAAUUCCUGGUGUAGCGGUGAAAUGCGUAGAUAUCAGGAGGAACACCCGUGGCGAAGGCGGCUACCUGGUCCGUAUCUGACGCUGAGGCGCGAAAGCUAGGGGAGCGAACGGG
Molecule: ribosomal RNA, 253 nt
Filed under: uncultured bacterium
Lineage: Bacteria
Description: partial 16S ribosomal RNA
Rfam family: Bacterial small subunit ribosomal RNA
Source: RNAcentral